AGGAAUAUUCAUGAUUUAUUUUGAUUGAGUUAUUUUCUGUUAUGUAAUUAGCAAUAGGAUUGCUAUUUAUGAAAUGUGCUGAUCUAUUUGUGAAAUGAGUCAACAUAUUUGGUGAACAGAAAAUAAAAUCUUUCAAAUUUAAAAAUUAUUUUUGAAAUGCCAAACCUUGACCCAUCAGCCCAAAUACUUAAUUAAAAGAAUUAAGUG
This 207-nucleotide long non-coding RNA is filed under the name Elaeis guineensis (African oil palm). RNAcentral's name for it is "long non-coding RNA (EGUI_LNC041842)". The record is from RNAcentral. Lineage: Eukaryota; Viridiplantae; Streptophyta; Magnoliopsida; Arecales; Arecaceae.